Molecule: ribosomal RNA, 497 nt
Filed under: uncultured bacterium
Lineage: Bacteria
Description: partial 16S ribosomal RNA
Rfam family: Bacterial small subunit ribosomal RNA
Source: RNAcentral
GACGAACGCUGGCGGCGUGCCUAAUACAUGCCAGUUGAGCGAUGAAGCUUGGUGCUUGCACCAAUUUGAAGAGCAGCGAACGGGUGAGUAACGCGUGGGGAAUCUGCCUUUGAGCGGGGGACAACAUUUGGAAACGAAUGCUAAUACCGCAUAACAACUUUAAACAUAAGUUUUAAGUUUGAAAGAUGCAAUUGCAUCACUCAAAGAUGAUCCCGCGUUGUAUUAGCUAGUUGGUGAGGUAAAGGCUCACCAAGGCGAUGAGACAUAGCCGACCUGAGAGGGUGAUCGGCCACAUUGGGACUGAGACACGGCCCAAACUCCUACGGGAGGCAGCAGUAGGGAAACUUCGGCAAUGGACGAAAGUCUGAACGAGCAACGCCGCGGGAGUGGAGAAGGUUUUCGGGUCGUAAAACUCUGUUGGUAGGGAAGAACGUUGGUGAGAGUGGAAAGCUCAUCAAGUGACGGUAACUACCCAGAAAGGGACGGCUAACUACGUG